AAAUAUGAAAUCAUAUAUAUUCUUAAUCGACUAAAUAAAUUAAAUUUUUAUUCUUAAAAGAACAAAAUCGUCAUGCAAUACAUCGCGGGUUAAAAUCUAGUCUUUCUAUAUUCUCGUUAUACUCUGCAACUAAAUAUACUCCCUCCGUCCCACUAAGAUGAACUUUUAAAAAAUUUCACAUUCUUUAAGAAAUAUUGUAUAAAGAUAAUUUUAACCUCUUAAUAUACUUUAAAAAUAAUAAUAAAUAUUUAUCUAAUUAUUAGUAAGGGUAAAACGGGAAAACAGUUUUAAAAUUUGCAUUGGAAAUAUAAAACUUCUAUCUUUGUGGGACAAAUAUUUUUCCUAGAAAAUUUAUCUUUAUGGGACAGAGGGAGUAUUUUCUAUCAUUCUAAAAAGUUUAAACUAUCAGAAAUCUUUGUGCCACUUAUCAUAUUAGAAAGAAGUAGCCUGUCCAUUUCCCACUGCCACCUUACAAAGCUUGUCUAUCUCCCUUAUGCAUGCACGAGGUAGUCUACAAGCUGCAAGCCAAAAAUUGCAUAUGCUCCACAAAACCCAACUGAUCAGAUUUAAACGUCCAGCAAAAGAAAGAAAUCGGGACGUCCAAGAUUCAAUUUUCCUUGUAAUCUUUUAUAACAGGGGAAGACAGCCAGAUGCUGUGAAUCGCUUAGUGACCAGAGGGAGUCCGAGAUACCUCACUGGUAACUGACCAACUUCGAAAGGGAACCUUUGGGUUAUCUCAUGGUGGACUGAAUCUUAAAUUCCCGUCAGAUACAUUGUCGACUUUUCCUUGCUUAUUUUUAGUCGUGAUAAUUUUUGCAAAAUCGUUUAACACAUGAACUAUUCCUCCUAUUGAUAUGACCUUUCCAUCGGAUAGGAUCUUAAGGUUAUCAGCAAAGCUCAAGUGAGUUAAGCCAAGACUUCCACAUUUCAGAUGGUAACCAAAUUGUCUAGCACCUGAAGCUUUAUCCAACAUUUUAGAGAGAACAUCCAUACUAAUGACGAAUAAGUAUGGAGAGAGAGAGCAUCCCUGUCUUUAACCUCUUGCACUGUUGAAAAAAACAACUAAUUCCCCAUUAACUUGAACCGAGAAGGAAGACGUAGCUAUGCAGAGGGUAACCCAAUGAAUAAAGACUGAGGGAAAGUCCAUGGCUGUGAGAACUUUGGUGAGGAAGUCCCACUGUACCGAGUCAAACGCUUUUGAUAUAUCAAUUAUUAGAGCGCAACGGCUAGAAAUUGAGUCAUUAUGGUAGUCCUUGACUAAUUCUGUCGCCAACAACACAUUCUCUAUCAAUAGACGGUCCUUUACAAACGCUGACUGAUUUCCCGCUAUGAAUUGAGGAAGAACCAAUUUAAGCCGGUUUGCAAUUAUCUUGGAGAUAACUUUAUAUGUCACAUUGCAGCAUGAGAUAGGCCUAUAGUCUUUAAUCUCUUUCACAUUUUUCUCUUAGGAAUAAGUGCUAAUAUCGUGGAGUUGAUGCCUUUAGGUAAGAAGCCUUCAACAAAGAAAGACUGAAUCGCCAAUACAAACUCAUCUCUGGUGAUUUCCCAAGCUCCUUUAUAGAAUUCUGAGGUAAAUCCAUCUGGUCCCGGAGAUUUAUCAUUAGGCAUAGAGAACAAAGCCUUUUUAAUCUCAGCUGCAGUGACUUCAUUGGUAAGCAUCUCUUUUUCUAUUUCCAUACAACAAAAGGGUAGUAACUCUUGAAGCUCAGCCACUGAAAUACCUUCGAAAUCAUUAGGAACUAGCUGCAAAAAUUCUCUAAAGAACCGUUCAGCCUCUGUUGUGAUUUCCUCCUCUUGUGCCGUCACAGUCCCAUGUUGGCAUUGAAUCUCUCUAAUUGUGUUCCGUGCCUCCCGCGUUGUAACAGCUCUAUGAAAUGCUUUAUUGUUUCGAUCACCAAUCUUCAUCCAAUGUAAUUUUCAUUUCUGCUUCAAAUAUAUUUCUUCCAGAGCUGCGACCUUGUCCCAAGUGUCAUACGCCUCAUUUUCUUCUUGCAUUGAGCUUGUGGUGGGGUUAGACAAAUUGGCCUCCUGCUUCUGACACAAUUUCUCAUACGCAUCUUUUGUUAAAAAACACAUUUUGAUUUUCUUAUAAGAAGUUUAAACAUUAUAAAUACUAAAACUUUAUAUUACGGGUGAAAUCUUAGAAUUAACGAGUAUGAGUCAAUAUUAAUAUAGGAUGAUAUACCACCUGUGAGAUCCUAAAAUUAAUAAUUAAAAUACAAUUAUAAAAUCUUAAAACACUAAAUAAAGUAAACAUUAUUAACAAGACAAAUACAACUAAAAAUUUCAAAUAUUUAGUUAUAAAAUAUAGUCUAUCUUACAUUAAAACCAAACAAAACAAUAACAUAUAUCUACAGAAUUUGUUUUAACUAAAAUAUAUGCAUGCGGUGUAUCACGGGUUCAUAUCUAGUAUGCUACAUAAUAAUUGAUUGUAAAUAAAUAAGGUGAGAUAAAAAUCUCCAAAAUCUCAAUUGCCAAUAACAUUACAACAAGUGUGUCUCUCAAUAAUUUCUUUCUU
This 2518-nucleotide small RNA is filed under the name Arabidopsis thaliana (thale cress). Its description in RNAcentral is "ATSL278770". The record is from RNAcentral. Lineage: Eukaryota; Viridiplantae; Streptophyta; Magnoliopsida; Brassicales; Brassicaceae.